UGGUGCCAGCAGCCGCGGUAAUUCCAGCUCCAAUAGCGUAUAUUAAAGUUGUUGCAGUUAAAAAGCUCGUAGUUGGAUUUCUGUUAAUAAUUUAUAUUGAUAUACAUUUUUGUAUUUAAUAUGAUAUUAACAUAAUUCAUAUUACUAAUUUUUUUUAGUAUAUGAAAUUUUACUUUGAGAAAAUUAGAGUGCUUAAAGCAGGCAAUUGCCUUGUAUACUACAGCAUGGAAUAAUAAUAAAAGAUUUUUAUCUUUUUUUUUAUUGGUUCUAAGAUAAAAAUAAUGAUUAAUAGGGACAGUUGGGGGCAUUUGUAUUUAACAGUUAGAGGUGAAAUUCUUAGAUUUGUUAAAGACAAACUAAUGCGAAAGCAUUUGCCAAGGAUGUUUUCAUUAAUCAAGAACGAAAGUUAGGGGAUCGAAGACGAUCAGAUACCGUCGUAGU
This 441-nucleotide ribosomal RNA is filed under the name Cryptosporidium sp. RNAcentral's name for it is "partial small subunit ribosomal RNA". It matches the Rfam family "Eukaryotic small subunit ribosomal RNA", at positions 562 to 1024 of the family's 1831-position model. Lineage: Eukaryota; Apicomplexa; Conoidasida; Eucoccidiorida; Cryptosporidiidae. The record is from RNAcentral.